AAAUACUUCCUCAGACCUGGUGUCAACCAUCGGACUCCAGCAGGCUGCAGCCUGAAAGGAGGAGGGGGGUCAGAGCAGCACGUUCUCUUUCAGCAUGCAAACAUGGACAUGACAUCACUCUAGAAAAAGCAGCUCUGAUCCUCAUCACACUGAGCUGCUUUGCUGUUGCUAGGCAACACAACUGUCCAUCACAUCACAUGAUGACUAUCAACAGCAGCUACAUUCAGCCAAUCAGAAACAGGCGUCUCAAAGUCAAAUCAUGUCAACAAUGAGACUUUUUCUUGUCAGACUCAGCAGUUUGUAUUGUGAACAGAUGACAGGACUGUUUGA
Molecule: long non-coding RNA, 330 nt
Organism: Thunnus maccoyii (southern bluefin tuna)
Lineage: Eukaryota; Metazoa; Chordata; Actinopteri; Scombriformes; Scombridae
Exons: 3
Source: RefSeq, a predicted model, not a curated record